GGGGGAUUGGCAUGCCUUGUUCCAGGCUCGUGAGGGUGAAAUCUAGGCUCUGCCCACAGACUUUGCAAUUUUCUGAACUUUGGUGGAAUUAAAGUACUUCAGAAGUGAAUAUCAAAUGAAGAAAAAAAUCAGGCAGCUGCAUAUGUUGGCAUGAUUGAUGAGAUCUGCUACAGUCAAGCAAGCAGCCCUGGGUGACCAGUUUACCCUCCCCGGCUAGGGUUCCAGCUGCCAGUUGCUCCCAUUCUGUGACAGCUUCUCCUUCUCCUCACCUUGUCAUCAAGCCAAGAUUGUACACUGUAGGAGUACAGUUUUGGUUAGGUGUUGGAGGAGGUCAUCAAGAGGAUGUGACUGCAACUUGACCUGAGAGCUGGGACUGGGCAAUCAGAGGCUCCUUACCCUCUCCGCUGUCCUUGGACCCAGCGUUCCCACACUAGGAGCUGUUUCAAGGACACAGCCCUGAGAGAGCAAUAUGUUGUUUAGACCGUCUAGACUGAAUAUGUGACUAAACUCAGUUUCUCCUUACCCCUGGAUAUGAGAGCUGGUGUCAAAU
RNAcentral lists this long non-coding RNA (550 nucleotides) under Equus caballus (horse). Its description in RNAcentral is "lncRNA (ENSECAG00000037771.3)". The record is from RNAcentral. Lineage: Eukaryota; Metazoa; Chordata; Mammalia; Perissodactyla; Equidae.